RNAcentral lists this ribosomal RNA (433 nucleotides) under uncultured bacterium. Its description in RNAcentral is "bacterial SSU rRNA". It matches the Rfam family "Bacterial small subunit ribosomal RNA", at positions 958 to 1392 of the family's 1533-position model. The record is from RNAcentral.
AACGCGAAGAACCUUACCAGGACUUGACAUCCUCUUGACCGUUCUAGAGAUAGAGCUUCCCUUCGGGGCAAGAGUGACAGGUGGUGCAUGGUUGUCGUCAGCUCGUGUCGUGAGAUGUUGGGUUAAGUCCCGCAACGAGCGCAACCCUUAAUCUUAGUUGCCAGCAUUAAGUUGGGCACUCUAAGGUGACUGCCGGUGACAAACCGGAGGAAGGUGGGGAUGACGUCAAAUCAUCAUGCCCCUUAUGUCCUGGGCAACACACGUGCUACAAUGGGUCGUACAAAGGGUAGCGAAGCCGCGAGGUGGAGCCAAUCCCAAAAAGCGACUCUCAGUUCGGAUUGCAGGCUGCAACUCGCCUGUAUGAAGCUGGAAUUGCUAGUAAUCGUGGAUCAGCAUGCCACGGUGAAUAUGUUCCCGGGCCUUGUACACACCG